GUUUUUGUAGUUGAUAUACAACGGUGGUUUUUCGAGCCACAGGACUCUGUAAGAGUAAAAACC
RNAcentral lists this transfer RNA (63 nucleotides) under Laticauda semifasciata (broad-banded blue sea krait). Its description in RNAcentral is "tRNA-Glu". Lineage: Eukaryota; Metazoa; Chordata; Lepidosauria; Squamata; Elapidae. The record is from RNAcentral.